Molecule: long non-coding RNA, 557 nt
Filed under: Homo sapiens (human)
Lineage: Eukaryota; Metazoa; Chordata; Mammalia; Primates; Hominidae
Description: PPM1K divergent transcript
Source: RNAcentral
UAGAGUUUGAAAGGCAUCUGAUUUCACUGCCAUGUCUUUGAACAGCAGUGCACAGUGCAGUCUUCUUCGUGGCUGAACAGCCACUCGAUGUCUUUUGAUUGGAGAGUUUAAUCAAACAGAAGGAGUCUUCCAUUGUGGCCACCACAGCUGGGAAUGAGCUAAGGUCUUGCUAUGUUGCCUAGACUGGUUUUGAACUCCUGGGCUGAAGCAAUCCUCCCACUUCGGCCUCUCAAAGUGCUGGGAUAUCAGACAUGAGCCACCUGCCAUGCUUGGCCUAUGCUAGUCAAGUGGAGCAGUGGGAGUGAAGAUGGAAUAAAGAAAUCCAUAACUGGUUGUGAUUAAGUAGUUGUAAACACCAACUGCACUCAGACCAACCCAUAUAUAUAUUUUUAAUUGUAAGCAUAGUAUAUAUAAAACUUCAAUUCCUGCUUUUUUUUACCUAACAUUAUAUCAUAUGCAUUUUCCAUACUGUUUCACAAUUCCUUGUAUUCGUAAUUGUUUAAUCCUGCAAAAUAAUGCUUCGAAUGAACAUAUGAUCAUUUCCUUAAGUAUUCCCC